Molecule: long non-coding RNA, 3805 nt
Organism: Orbicella faveolata
Lineage: Eukaryota; Metazoa; Cnidaria; Anthozoa; Scleractinia; Merulinidae
Source: RefSeq, a predicted model, not a curated record
ACGCGACGACGUUUUUGCAAUGUAUUUUUUGCCUAUUGAUUCGGCCAGUUUUUGGCCAGAGAGAGCGCGAAAUCCAUUUUCCCAACUAUUCCUGAAAGUAGGCCGUAUUUAGAAAAAUGAACCCCAAAACCUUUGAAAACUCAUAAAUACCUCUCCAUAAACUCGAAACAAGGGUAAGUUAAAUUUUGACCGAGGCCCCCCUUUGCUCGAUAUUUCUGUUCAUUUUCUCUUAAAUAUCCCGCACCUAUAUUAAAAUCAAAUGACAAACCAAUCAAAUGAUCGCAGUUAAUCAGGCAUUCAGUGCGUGGUUACAAAACGUUCGAAAAUUUAAAUUGCAAAUUAUACAUGUGCUGAAGCAUUUUGCUGCGUUGCGUUCUUCGGAUGUACAUCAUCCUUUCACUUUCAAGAAUUCGACUUUUUAAUUUGGCUUCGGUCACUUCUAGUAACAGGUAGUAAGCCUUCAUUUGAGAUGGUCCUUCCGUUUCCAGCUGCUACGAGACACAGUGAUACCUGGGAAAAGAACUAACUUCAAAUGAGCAAACCUUGCAACGACUUGCUUCGAGUGGGAAGUCUUUUGAGUCUUGCAAAGAACUGAUGAGAAAUGGUGAUAAAACGGACAAAAUUCUAUUAGGAUCCCUGACACGAUUACUUCAGGUAACUUGAACCUUUUAGUCUCUUGCUGGAAGUUUAUAUUCUUGUUACGGUGUGCCACAAAUUUCUUUCAAUGCUAGCUCGGAGAAUGUGGAGUUGCAUCAAAACAAUUCGUUAAAUGAUUUGACUUGCUCUCUUCACAAACAACUAGUAUCUUUGUCACGGUGGCAACGUGGUGAGAUUGAUAAAAAAUGCAUUCAUUGUAGUUCACUAAUGCGGCCUUGGUCAGACAGUUGAAAGGCUUGAAAAUGAGAGAAUAGGUUCAGAAUUCAAGUCCCACUAUGCGGCGCACGUCUCAAUUUCCAGAGCAAGGAGGAAAAACGAAUUGAAAUUGUUUUUCUGACAUUGUUAUUGCCGUUUUUAUGGCUUCUACACGGCUCUAUAGUGAUGAAAGCCGACAUGUUCGCACGAUAUUUUGUUUCUCUUAGAACGUGGUUUUGUUAAAACAUAAUCAUUGAUGUAAUUACUUAUGCUGCUUUCUUGCUCGCUUUUUAGAUUGGUGUUGCUGUGGCCCCUCGCGGUUUAAACCGAUGAAAUGAAGAUUUAACAAAAAUUGCGAAUUUUAAAACCUUUGUUUACUGGUCAUGCAUGCUAAAUAGGCCUCGGUGUCUGAAGGCUGCAGGUUUUCACGGGGCGUUUCUUGCUGGUUGGUUGCUGAUCAGUGAACAAAUCACAACGAAAGAGAUUGCUUUAAAUUUUUAUUCGCUAAAAUUGUCGGAAACUUCCGUCGAAUCACCGUGCGCUUACGUUACAGAAAAAUAAUCUUUGGUGACCACUAGUUUUCAUUACAUGCCACAAGAUAUGAACUAGAACAAGACAACCUCAUAGUCGCAAGGAUCAACGGAGAUUUGUUAAAAAACAAACAUUAUAAAAAACGAAGAUUAAAAGAAUCAGUUUUCUUCUUAGUCCUAUAUUAUCGGGAUUUUAAUGCUGACAAAAUGAUAGGACGAUAUUAGAAGAUUUUUACGGUUGACUUUUAUUGGGGUUAUUCUUCGUUUUAAGUAGACUUGUUACAAGCAUCAUGUUUCUAGACUACCCAUAACUAACUUAUUAAAGUGAAUUUUAUUUUCCGUGGGCCUUCAUCAUAAUAACAGCGAAUACAAGAAAAACAAUUUUUGCCUACGCGAAAUACCUUAAUAUCUUCCCCUCCGGGAUUGAGUGACCUUGAACGACCUUCAAUAGGCCGCACAAGAUAUGGCCGCUUCUGUUCGUUUACCAUUUUAAUGCAAAUUAAUUACCACGUGAUUUCUGAGAGGUAAACAAAUUAUAUUCGGGGGAUUUCAAGCAGAUUAUUUUCUUGGAAUUCUAAUUGAUUUGUCAGAGUGGCUUUAUGAUAAUUAAAUACGCUCAAAUGUAAAACACUUGUGUAAUAUGUAUUCAGUUGCAGAAGUACUGACAUGAUCUUUUGCUUAUUUUCCUUAGCGUCUCCUGGUUACAGGAAGAUUCUGAUAGACUCUCAUUGGUGGAUUUUCAAGGCUUGUCUUGGAUUCUUGGAUUCGUCAGAUGCCUGCUGACAUGAAGAAGAUUCUGGAUCACGCUUGUGCAAGUAGUUUUCGUUUGGUAAAGAACAAUAGUUUAGUUACUAAUUUUGUUAGAAACCGUGACUGAUCGACAAUCAAUUUAUCCUCACAAAAUGCAAAACCAGUUUAUUGUCAAGCAGAAAAGUGACAAGAAAAUCUGCAUCUAAUUAUAUUGUCUUGAUGUAUCGCCAAAUUCUCACAACUGUUGCAACAAGAAACGUAUAGGAAUUAGGAAAGAGAAAUUAUACUUAGAAUUGAAUGAACGCGGAUCCAUGUUAUUGAAACCACAGACCAAAAAAAAAAUUAUUUGCUGACCAUAUACACUCAAUUUAUUAUUUUUGGAAAAUCAUCGUUUGCUUGUUUACCGCUGUGAGCUGAAAUUGUUUUGAAAUCUAGCCACGAUUCGCUGUUUGAUUUGUCAUAAUUCGACAUGCAAAUAUUUAAACUACACAAAUCUCUCAGAUCACUCAAAUUUUGAACUACGCAUCCUGUCAAUUUAUAACGUAGAUCGUUUCUUUGGCCAGCCAUGAAACUAAAUUUUAUCAGUUUUUGGAAAAAAAAUUGUUGAUGGCUUCUUCACCGUCCAGUCAACCACUAUUAUUUUAAAUUUCGACAGAUUUCGCUGACUGAUAGUCAAAAUCUUUCAUGUAGCAGAUCAAUGAAAUUUUACAUAAAACUAAGCUGUUGAACUGAAUAUUCCGCGUCGUUUCAGUUUGUUUUUGAUUUAAUUGUGACUUCAGGUGAACUCAGUAGGAACUGUCGCUUGAAUCUCGCCAAAUUUUGCUGUUCGAUUACAGUCAAGUUCAGCAUGCACUAACCGUACAGAAAAGAUUUUUUAGAGCAACUUUUGUAAAAAUAGUCGCCUUUUUCAAUUUAUAACGUAUUUUUUGGCUGAUCACAUAACUCAAUUUGUUUUGGAAGAAUUGUUUUCGCUUGCUUGGUUACCGUGAAGUCAGCUGUUUGAUUGCAGUCAGAUUUGACAUGUACUAAUAACCGGUGCAGAAAUUCUUUUCCGUCAGCAAAGUUUGAAAACUAAAAUCUAUAGUAUGAAUUGUAUAUAUUAUGUGUCGUGUCGUUCCAUAACAUGGAUCCACACUUAAUUUGUAUCCAAUGCUGUUAAAACUUUGAAGAAAUAUUUUAUGCAAAGAUGCUAUCGCGUAUGCCAGCGAAAGAUUUAUUUUUAAAACCGGAGCAAAUUUUUGCUUGAAGCUGAUGUAAAAAAAAAAAAAAAAGCCAGUAUUGAAUUUCAGUGUUUACCAGCAACUUAGUGAUACACUCGUUCGUAAAAAAAUAGGACAAUUUUCAUCACUUUUUAGUUUCGACUAUUGCAUUCCCUAAAAUGAGAAAUUUCGUUAAAUUUUUUUCAGAAUUCUCUCCACUGAUACUUAUAACAAUUUAAAACGUUUCAGACUUAGUAUUUGCUCGAUAAAGCAACUUCAUCAUAUUACUUUCGGUUAUUGACUCUUGUAAUUACUACAAAUAAAUUCCAGACUCAGAAAUGUAGUUUAUUGUUUCAACUUCUUUAAUAGUUUGAUUUGCAAUUACUGUUGUAAACAAGUUACCUUAAUAAAACUUGUAAAUUAAGUUAAUGGUACAAAACAAUAAAAAAAUAAAUGAAACCAUUGUUUCUUUUA